RNAcentral lists this ribosomal RNA (253 nucleotides) under uncultured bacterium. RNAcentral's name for it is "partial 16S ribosomal RNA". It matches the Rfam family "Bacterial small subunit ribosomal RNA", at positions 524 to 776 of the family's 1533-position model. The record is from RNAcentral.
UACGUAGGGUGCAAGCGUUAAUCGGAAUUACUGGGCGUAAAGCGUGCGCAGGCGGCUUUGUAAGACAGAUGUGAAAUCCCCGGGCUUAACCUGGGAACUGCAUUUGUGACUGCAUGGCUAGAGUGCGGCAGAGGGGGAUGGAAUUCCGCGUGUAGCAGUGAAAUGCGUAGAUAUGCGGAGGAACACCGAUGGCGAAGGCAGCCCCCUGGGUUAGCACUGACGCUCAGGCACGAAAGCGUGGGGAGCAAACAGG